RNAcentral lists this long non-coding RNA (428 nucleotides) under Brassica napus (rape). RNAcentral's name for it is "long non-coding RNA (BNAP_LNC009337)". The record is from RNAcentral. Lineage: Eukaryota; Viridiplantae; Streptophyta; Magnoliopsida; Brassicales; Brassicaceae.
GAGACCAUAUCUUUGAUUUUAUCUUGUCCAUUUGUAGGAUGGUGAUAACGUUCUAGAAUUAUGUUCUAAGAAGGAUGAAGAGAGAGCCAAACUUUUGAGGUUGAGACAAAAGAAGUGCAAGUGGGAGAAGACAAGGAUGAGAAUGCAAUUCAGACAUGAACAAAGAAGGAAAACCUGCCACUAGCUUCUUGUCAAUGAAGCUCUCUCAAAGUAAGUAACGAAAAGAUUCAUCAAACUCUUUAAUUUUCUAAGUGAUUUAAAGCUCUCUGUCUCUUAUCUUUGUCUAAACAUGAAUCAUUUUCAACCCGAGUUCUUAGAUCACUGAGUACAUGGUUAUGCGUUCUUGUAUUUGGGGAAUUUAGAGAUUUGUUCAUGUCUUUUACGUCGUGUUGUUAUUUGUCACAUUAAAAGUUCAUACCAAAGCAGCA